GACGAACGCUGGCGGCGUGCUUAACACAUGCAAGUCGAACGGAAAGGCCCUGCUUUUGUGGGGUGCUCGAGUGGCGAACGGGUGAGUAACACGUGAGUAACCUGCCCUUGACUUUGGGAUAACUUCAGGAAACUGGGGCUAAUACCGGAUAGGAGCUCCUGCUGCAUGGUGGGGGUUGGAAAGUUUCGGCGGUUGGGGAUGGACUCGCGGCUUAUCAGCUUGUUGGUGGGGUAGUGGCUUACCAAGGCUUUGACGGGUAGCCGGCCUGAGAGGGUGACCGGCCACAUUGCGACUGAGAUACGGCCCAGACUCCUGCGGGAGGCAGCAGUGGGGAAUAUUGCACAAUGGGCGGAAGCCUGAUGCAGCAACGCCGCGUGCGGGAUGACGGCCUUCGGGUUGUAAACCGCUUUCGCCUGUGACGAAGCGUGAGUGACGGUAAUGGGUAAAGAAGCACCGGCUAACUACGUG
RNAcentral lists this ribosomal RNA (468 nucleotides) under uncultured bacterium. RNAcentral's name for it is "partial 16S ribosomal RNA". It matches the Rfam family "Bacterial small subunit ribosomal RNA", at positions 28 to 507 of the family's 1533-position model. The record is from RNAcentral.